RNAcentral lists this long non-coding RNA (426 nucleotides) under Androctonus crassicauda. The record is from RNAcentral. Lineage: Eukaryota; Metazoa; Arthropoda; Arachnida; Scorpiones; Buthidae.
GUAUUUAAGUUCAUAAUUACAUACUGUACAUAAAAUAUAUCAUACUGCAGAGUUGUGAUUACCUAUCUGAUUAUUUGCUAAGAGUAAUAUGACUAAUGAAUGACAAUUUGUCUUACUAUCAUGUGAUUUAUGAUGGAAAGAUUUGUGAUAGAAAGCAGAAAAGCUUAGUCUCCUUCAUCAAGAAAAAAGUUAGAAAAUCUCUAAUAUCAACAACUAGUCAUAGAAGCAGCAGGAACUUCUGCAGUUUUAGCAGGGGUGUUUCGUGCUUAGGUGGAACUGCAUCAUCCCCAAUUUUUCAUUAUAUAUAUUUAUUAUUUUAUUUAUAUUUGUUUAUAAUAAUUAAUUUUAUCAACAACAAUCCUGUACAAUUCUCUUAUUUUGUAUAAAAAAUAAUAAUAAUCCAUCUUGUAGCGCUUAGAAGAGUGA